Molecule: ribosomal RNA, 592 nt
Filed under: Kwoniella heveanensis
Lineage: Eukaryota; Fungi; Basidiomycota; Tremellomycetes; Tremellales; Cryptococcaceae
Description: partial large subunit ribosomal RNA
Rfam family: Eukaryotic large subunit ribosomal RNA
Source: RNAcentral
CCUAGAUAACGGCGAGUGAACCGGGAAGAGCUCAAAUUUGAAAUCUGGCGUCCUUCGGGCGUCCGAGUUGUAAUCUAUAGAAACGUUUUCCGUGCCGGACCGUGUCCAAGUCCCUUGGAACAGGGUAUCAGAGAGGGUGACAAUCCCGUACUUGACACGACGACCGGUGCUCUGUGAUACGUUCUCUACGAGUCGAGUUGUUUGGGAAUGCAGCUCAAAAUGGGUGGUAAACUCCAUCUAAAGCUAAAUAUUGGUGGGAGACCGAUAGCGAACAAGUACCGUGAGGGAAAGAUGAAAAGCACUUUGGAAAGAGAGUUAAACAGUAUGUGAAAUUGUUGAAAGGGAAACGAUUGAAGUCAGUCGUGACCGUUGGGUUCAGCCGGUUCUGCCGGUCUACUCCCUUCGGUCGGGUCAACAUCGGUUUUGACCGGCGGAUAAGGAAGGGAGGAAUGUGGCACCCUCCGGGGUGUGUUAUAGCCUCUCGUCGCAUACGUCGGUCGAGACCGAGGAACGCAGCUCGCCUUUAUGGCCGGGGUUCGCCCACGUCCGAGCUUAGGAUGUUGACAUAAUGGCUUUAAACGACCCGUCUUGA